RNAcentral lists this ribosomal RNA (253 nucleotides) under uncultured bacterium. Its description in RNAcentral is "partial 16S ribosomal RNA". It matches the Rfam family "Bacterial small subunit ribosomal RNA", at positions 524 to 776 of the family's 1533-position model. The record is from RNAcentral.
UACGAGAGGCCCAAACGUUAUUCGGAAUUACUGGGCUUAAAGAGUUCAUAGGCGGCAUUGCAAGUAGGGUGUGAAAGCCCUCGGCUCAACCGAGGAAUUGCGCUCUAAACUGCAGUGCUCGAGGAAGCUAGAGGUGAGCAGAACAGAUGGUGGAGCGGUGAAAUGCGUUGAUAUCAUCUGGAAUACCGGAGGCGAAGGCGGCUCACUGGGGCUUUUCUGACGCUGAGGAACGAAAGCCAGGGUAGCGAACGGG